Molecule: ribosomal RNA, 469 nt
Filed under: uncultured bacterium
Lineage: Bacteria
Description: bacterial SSU rRNA
Rfam family: Bacterial small subunit ribosomal RNA
Source: RNAcentral
UCCAGACCCUACGGGAGGCAGCAGUGGGGAAUAUUGCGCAAUGGGCAAAAGCCUGACGCAGCGACGCCGCGUGAGGGAUGAAGGUUUUCGGAUCGUAAACCUCUGUCAGAAGGGAAGAAAGUGCGUGGUGCUAAUCAGCCGCGUAUUGACAGUACCUUCAAAGGAAGCACCGGCUAACUCCGUGCCAGCAGCCGCGGUAAUACGGAGGGUGCGAGCGUUAAUCGGAAUUACUGGGCGUAAAGCGCACGUAGGCUGUUGUGUAAGUCAGGGGUGAAAUCCCACGGCUCAACCGUGGAACUGCCCUUGAUACUGCAUGACUGGAAUCCGGGAGAGGGUGGCGGAAUUCCAGGUGUAGGAGUGAAAUCCGUAGAUAUCUGGAGGAACAUCAGUGGCGGAGGCGACUAUCUGGCACAUAACUGACGCUGAGGAGCGAAAGCGUGGGUAGCAAACAGGAUUAGAUACCCGUGUA